GAUGAACGCUGGCGGCGUGCCUAAUACAUGCAAGUCGAGCGAACGGACGAGAAGCUUGCUUCUCUGAUGUUAGCGGCGGACGGGUGAGUAACACGUGGAUAACCUACCUAUAAGACUGGGAUAACUUCGGGAAACCGGAGCUAAUACCGGAUAAUAUUUUGAACCGCAUGGUUCAAAAGUGAAAGACGGUCUUGCUGUCACUUAUAGAUGGAUCCGCGCUGCAUUAGCUAGUUGGUAAGGUAACGGCUUACCAAGGCAACGAUGCAUAGCCGACCUGAGAGGGUGAUCGGCCACACUGGAACUGAGGCACGGUCCAGACUCCUACGGGAGGCAGCAGUAGGGAAUCUUCCGCAAUGGGCGAAAGCCUGACGGAGCAACGCCGCGUGAGUGAUGAAGGUCUUCGGAUCGUAAAACUCUGUUAUUAGGGAAGAACAUAUGUGUAAGUAACUGUGCACAUCUUGACGGUACCUAAUCAGAAGGCCACGGCUAACUACGUG
RNAcentral lists this ribosomal RNA (497 nucleotides) under uncultured bacterium. RNAcentral describes it as "partial 16S ribosomal RNA". It matches the Rfam family "Bacterial small subunit ribosomal RNA", at positions 28 to 507 of the family's 1533-position model. The record is from RNAcentral.